This 253-nucleotide ribosomal RNA is filed under the name uncultured bacterium. RNAcentral describes it as "partial 16S ribosomal RNA". It matches the Rfam family "Bacterial small subunit ribosomal RNA", at positions 524 to 776 of the family's 1533-position model. The record is from RNAcentral.
UACGGAGGGGGCGAGCGUUAUUCGGAAUUAUUGGGCGUAAAGGGCGCGUAGGCGGCUGUACAAGUCAACGGUGAAAUCCCUCGGCUCAACUGAGGAACUGCCUUUGAAACUGUACGGCUUGAGGCCGGGAGGGGGUAGCGGAAUUCCCAAUGUAGCGGUGAAAUACGUAGAGAUUGGGAAGAACACCAGUGGCGAAGGCGGCUAUCUGGACGGUUUCUGACGCUAAGACGCGAAAGCGUGGGGAGCAAACAGG